UUGCCUUGUCUUGCUAUGGAGGAGACCGGAGUCAGCCGAAUGAAUUGCUUCGCUGUACAUGUAAUCGUACAUCCUAUCACUUUAUUACGCGGCUGAUACGACCCGACACGCGCUGAAAUACUCCUCUCUGGGGAUUGAAUACA
Long non-coding RNA from Rhodamnia argentea, 143 nucleotides. RefSeq lists it as uncharacterized. The record is from RefSeq and is a predicted model, not a curated record. NCBI's taxonomy places the organism in Eukaryota, Viridiplantae, Streptophyta, Magnoliopsida, Myrtales, Myrtaceae. The transcript has 3 exons.